Sitophilus oryzae (rice weevil) is the source of this 405-nucleotide long non-coding RNA. RefSeq lists it as uncharacterized. The transcript has 2 exons. The record is from RefSeq and is a predicted model, not a curated record. Lineage: Eukaryota; Metazoa; Arthropoda; Insecta; Coleoptera; Curculionidae.
CUAAUUUUUAAAUCUAGUUUGCGGUAUGUAGUCCUCCAUAAAACAGAACAAGAUGGCUUGUGUGAAGUACUGCCUUUUGGUAAUGUGUUUUUUUCUGAUAAUGAUAGAUAACAUCGAAAAUGCCCCAGCGACUGUAACUCAAAGUCCAAUUGAAAGUAUACUUCCUCUAAUUCGGCCCAUAAUUUUACCUCUUUGCAAGAAACCUUUAGAGCUGGCAGAAGAUGGGACAUGUAGAGAAGUAGAACGUUAAACAAAAAUAACAUUACAAAGACCAACAAACCAUUCAUUUCAUGAGGCAACUAGAUGAGGUACCAUGAAGAAAUUUGAUUACUCAAAAAGAAAAUGUAAAAGUAAUUAUAAUUAUGAUAUAUUAAAAAAAUAUUAUAUUGCAUAGUAUUAAAUUAU